This 139-nucleotide ribosomal RNA is filed under the name Thalassionema nitzschioides. RNAcentral's name for it is "partial Bacterial large subunit ribosomal RNA". It matches the Rfam family "Bacterial large subunit ribosomal RNA", at positions 1349 to 1476 of the family's 2925-position model. Lineage: Eukaryota; Bacillariophyta; Fragilariophyceae; Thalassionematales; Thalassionemataceae. The record is from RNAcentral.
GGGUUCCAGGGCCAGGCUAAUCCGCCCUGGGUAAGUCGGGACCUAAGGCGAGGCCGACAGGCGUAGUCGAUGGACAACGGGUUGAUAUUCCCGUACCGGCGAAGAACCGCCCCAGUCAAUCCAGUAAUGCUAAGACUCU